AUUACUCCCAUUUCAUAUCUCUUCCUUUGGCAGUCCACCCUGGACUUGUAGAAAAGCUACAGAGUUUUCAGAAUUCAAUAAUGGGAAAUUUAAAUAAUAAUCAAGGUAAACAAGGGUGUGAUUCAAAUGAAGGAACAUCAGAUGAAGAAGAUUACGAUGGCCCUGUUGGUGGAGAUUCUUGUGUUGCUGUUAAGUUGAAGGUUCAUAACAAUGAUGAGCCCGUUAAAAUGAAGAUAGAGGUGACAGAUGCAAGUGUUGAUCCUAGGGUACCUCAAUCCUCAUUUUUAUCUGGUGAGGCAGUUAGCCUAAUCAUAUAUGGGUUAGGUUUGAAAAUAUCCAACUUCAACGACUGUUUAUCUUGUCUAAGAAGUUCCCUUGUUUUACAAUGAUUUUGUCUUGUGCCAUUUGAUUUUACAGGCACAUGUAUCGUUUCUCAUUCUACUGAGAUCUUUAUAUGUUUAUAUUGAGGGUUCCAACUUGAAUUGACGAUAGAUAAAAUCAUCAACUUAGUUUUCUGCCUCUUUCUUUCUAGGACCCCUACUCACCCAUCCACCCACACCCGCACCCACACCCAGACACACACUAAGAAAAAGAAAAGCCUGCUUCACUCGGUUUAUCUUCUAAACUUCGUACGUUUUAGUCAGUUUUUUGUGUCCAGUUUCAUUUCAUGACAUUAUUCUCUAAGCAUUCAUAAUCUUUCGCCCUUUUUUCCCCCUGCUGUUGUCCGAGAUAUUUAAUAUGACAUUCUGAAAUAGAAUGGUAAAAGAGGCUACAUUUGUAAAUAUGCUUGAUUAUUCUAGACCGUCUUCCAUGAAUGUUCUAAUAAAUUGCAACCAUCCACUAGAAAGAUUGCUCAUCAUGCCAAGCCUACUAAUGCUCACCUUCUUCUCUCUACAACUCCUUGUUUUCUACUGUAUAGAUAUCAUUCUUUUGUGAAACCCUUAGGUUUCGUGUGAUUUUUGGAAUUGCUGAGUGUUCCUAUGGGACUGUGUAUGUGUGUGUGUGUACACACAUAUUUGGGUGAGGUUUAUAUAAGGCACCCACCUUAUACUAUAUAGGUAGGGUGCGCCUCUAAAUUUUACCCAAAGAUGUAGUUCUUAAGUUGGAAACCUUAUGAUGCCUUGAAAUUCCAUGUUCAACCCUAAUUAUGAAAUUUAAAAUUUCGAAAAUGUUACAAAUUGAGAAUAUCCAUAAACACUUGAAAAUCUUGAAAAUAGACAAUAACUUGAUAGAAGAUGCACUAUUUUUAGGACUUGAAAUACUUUUUUUCUUUAUAUCAAUACAUCUGAAGGUCGAUAUGAUCAAUUGGAAGGUUUUCCAACUUCGGAAAACUCUUUUCUAUUGGAUCUUUAUGGUGCAUCUUACUUCUAUAGUACAAGGUUGCAACCUUAUAUAAACUGUUUCUUAUAUAUAUAUUAUUUUUGACAUCGUUCUAUUUUCUCAUUUUACAGACUUGGGAAUCUAUAAAUCCAUAUUUAUCAAGCCAAAAACAUUUCAUUUGACUGUUCUCAUGCUUAAAUUGUGGAAUAAGGAACGCGUUGCUACAGCUGCUGAGAUUUUACAGGUAGAGGAUCAAUCCAUUCAAAAGUAUCAUAUGUACUAAUGGUAGGAGUUCCAAGGGUAUGAUUUUUUUGCUGAUACAUGCAGAAAGUCUCUCCAAAAGUGAUCAAAGCUUUGGAAGGCCGUCCUAUUUCCAUCAAGUUGAAAGGGUUGGUAUGUUUAUUUUAUUUUUUCUUUUUACUUCUACUCAAAAGUUCACAAUUUCCUUUCCUUUUCUUUCCUUUAUUUUGUUUUAUUUUUGUUUUGGUGUCGGGGGAUGUAUGUAUUAUCAUUCAAUGAAUCCCUGAGUUUGAUGUUUGGAUUAUAUUUUCCUCAAGAUUAGCAUGUUACUUCAUGUACCAGGUGAAGGCAGCAGGGUGUUAAAUAAAAAAAUGAUGAGUAAGAAAAAAAACUUAACCAUUUGAAGGGUUUACCUUUUUUAAUAGGUUUCUCAUAUAUUGAUGUGUUUUCAUAAUCUUUUGUUGAUGUUUGCUCAUAAUUUUUGUCAGAUGUUUGCUCAUAAUUUUUUAUUGUUGGGUAAUGUUCCUUGUAGUGUUUGUUCUCAACACCUCAUCUUUACAAUGUAAUGUAUUAGAGGCCCUGAUGCACUGAGUCAUAUUCAUUUCUACUAUCUAAAUGCUUGCAAUGGUUUAUUGUCUAGCAUAAGUUUAUUAGGAUUUUCUUACGGAUGAACUUUGUAUUUUCAGUAGUUUUGUCAUGACAUGGUUUCAACUUGAAGCUAAGCCAUUAUUGGACCAAACUAGUUUGUAUAUCAUGCAGUUAAUGCAAUAGCGUUUCCUAGUUCAAGUUCUGAGCAAGAAUAGGAAUUUUCUUCGGCACUGGAUGAUUUUUUCCCCUCAUUUCUCUGCAUGGAUUUUACUAUUUAGGUUUAAAAAAGCUGGAUUAUGAAUUUUUGGAGAGAAUGUUUGGUUUUGUUGGUCUCAUAUCUAUUGAGAUUUGGCUGUUUCUUACAUUUUCCUUCUAAUAGUUAAUUGAAUGAGGUAAAUUACUUCUCAAGUGGAGUUAAUGUUGUAUGUAAUAUGUUGAAAAUGAUGGAUCACUGAAAUCUUUAAUAAUAAAGAUUCUAAUGGCUAGUAAUCAUGCCUUUUCCUUGUUUAAUCUUCUGAUGGGUCUUGAGCCUCAUAGAAUCACACUACCUGUAAUUUUCUUGAUAAUUAUAUUGGAUGUAUUUUUUGUGAAUAAAAAAGUUAGCUGCUUUUGCUUUCUUCAUGGUCCAUAUAUGGUUAAAUAUUUAUCUUUGCCCUACAUGAAGUUCUGAUAUCACUUAGAUUUGCAGACAUUCUCAAUCUCCAGUCUUGGAUGACUUCAUGUUAGUGUGUGUAUGAGGUGAAUUUUCAGGAAUUGCAUUGUUUCUCUUAUGUACAGGAGUGCAUGAAAGGUUCACCUUCAAAAGCCCGUGUUUUAUAUACUCCAGUUGAGGAGAUUGGUGGCGAGGGUCGCUUGAUGCGGGCUUGUCGUAUCCUGAAUAUAUGUAUAAUGGUUUUUGUUUUUUCCCCUUCAGAAGUUAUAUACAAUAUAUGUAUAAUAUUUCCAGUGCAACUUUAUGGGUAAUUGUCACCGAAAUAAUUAGUACACUAACUUUUUCCUUUUUCUUAAUUUUUUCUUUCUGAUGUUAUAUUUGAAUUUUCCUUUCUUGCUGAUUUUCUUGAGCUGAUUUUCUUGAGCUUUCCAUAGAAGCCAUUAUUGAUGCCUAUGUGGAAGCUGGCCUUGUUCUCGAGAAGGAUGCGUGCCAAAAGUUGAAGGUAUUGUAUUUUUUAUCCUUGUAUGAUCUGUGGCACCUUCUAAAAUGACUCAAUGUUAUAAUAGUUUUGAUAAUGGUGUUAUUUCUGUUUUUUAAUUUUUAUUUCUUUUGCAAUGUUCUUUGGAGACAUUCAACGUAAUAGCUAUGUUCAUUAGGUCUGUAUUGUAGACUUCCAAUCAAGUGCACUAUUAUCAUCCAUGUAAAAUAAUUGUAAGAUUUACUUUGAAACUGAGUCGCUGUUAUUUAUUUUUCUUGAAAACUGGGGGCUUUUCUAAGGUUUCCUCUAAUGGGAUUUUCUUUAAGAUCGUAGCAUUAGGGUGGUGAUACAUUCCACAACUAUGAUUUAGAGCUGGUAAAAUAAUCAUAAAAAAUAAAAAAAGGAUAUCUAGAAAAUGGAAAAGAAAAAUACAGAAAACAGAACAUUUAGUGGUAAUGAUUAAAUUGGCUUUUUUUGCAGCUGCAUGCGACAGUCAUGAAUGCAAGGCAUAGGAAAAGGUACCUUUAUGGCUUCUCUUCCGUCUAUUGUUAUUUCGGGAAACUAUACCGGAAGAGUCUUUUGUGGUACAUGGUGCAGAGCUGGACCAUCCACAGAUCAUUCACAAAAACGGAUGGUAGAGAUUAACUAAAUGGUACCUAUGAUGGACACAGAUUUAGAUUUUAUCUGCGCCUUCCAUUGUGGAGAAUGGACAGUGGAUGCCCCAGAUGUGUAUCACGUACAGGCUGUAUAUAUAUGCUUUCCCUUUUAGUUUUGAUAAUAGAUUUUGCACCGUCAAAGUUUGGAAAAGGAAUGGUAAAACCCAUAUUUGAUAAAUUUGCAAUUGCUUGUGUGUCAUUACUGUCACUGUUUAGGAAGAGGAUAACGAAAAAGUUCGAUUCCUUUGAUGCUUGCGACAUUUUCAAACGAUAUGGGUCUGAAGAGUGGGGUGAGUUUGUGAUUGGUGAAGCGCAUUUAUCGCAGAGGUUCAAGUUUGAUGAAAGUGGCUACUAUCAUUGUUGCGCUUCAAUUCCCUUCCCUCAGAGCCUCGAAGAUUAAUAGUUCUUUCGUUUUCUUUUUCUUUUUAUUUACAUGUUCAAUAAGUGUUUUAAUUGGGUAGUUUUUGAAUUAGGAUUUUUUGUCUCUCUUACUGUAUGGAUUGUUAAUCAGAUUAUGCAAUUAUUUUAUUUUCAAAGAAGAAAAAUUUAAUUGUGUUUUUAAUUUCUUGAUGUAUGCCCUUUUUGUUACUAAACACAAUUCAUGCUUCACCUUCAUCGCUCGUUGUGUCUAUGCACAUGAACAGGCUGUGUAUGUGAUAUACUUCCCUUCCCAACUGACAAAGUGGUUGUCACAAAAGAUUUGCCAAGAUUUAAAAGGUCAAGGGGGAUAUUAAAGGUGAUCUAACUAUAGGAUCUUUGUACACACAUAUGUGUACAAAGAUGGACCAAGAACCGGACCUAGUUCAAGUCGAUCCACCACCGACCUGAUCCAAUUGCCAACCCUAUCCUAAACGCGUAAAUGUUCCUAGGGAUUACUCUAGGCAAUCUAUUUAUAUUGAAGUACAUUUUGGGAAAAGUAUUUCUUAUGAAAUAGAUUUCAGCUGUUUGAAUGCUACAUGGAUGUAUAACAUUUUCAUUUUUUUUUCAAAAAAUUCAUUAAAUAUUUUUAUUAUAUUAUUCAUUAUAAUGUCUUUUUUUUUAAUUAAAUUUAUGGUAGUUUCUCUCUCUAAAUAUUUGAGGUAAUAAAUCUCUAAAAUAUUUCAAAUAGUUUCUCUCUCUAAAAUUUGAUAUAGUUUCUCUCUCUUUAAAACUUAAAAUUUGAGAUAGUUUUUUACUCUAAAUUUUUUAAGAUAGCUUCUCUCACUAUGAAUGUUUAAGUACUUUCCCUCUCUAAAAAUUAAAAUUUGAAAUAGUUUUUGUCUAAAAAUUUUAAGUACUUUGUCUUUCUAAAAUUUGAUAUAGUUUCUCUGUAACGUUUUAAGGUACUUUUAUUUCUAAAACUUAAAAUAUGAGAUAGUUUCUCUCUCUAAAAAAUUUGAGAUACUCUUUAUAAAACUUAAAAUUUGAUAUAGUUUCUCUAUCUAAAAAAUUAAAAACAGUUUCUCUUUCUAAAAAUUUUCAAAUACUUUUUUUAUCUAAAAUUUAAAAUUUGAGAUAGUUUUUCUCUUUAAAAUUUUUGAUAUAGUUUCUCUCUCUAAAAUUUUGAGGUAUUUUCUCUCUCUCUAUAAAUUUUCAAGUACUUUAUCUCUCUAAAACAUAAAAUUUAAGAUAUUUCUUUUGAUAUAGUUUAUCUUUUUAAAUUUUUUGAGAUAUUUUUUUCUUCUGAAAAUUUUCAAUUACUUGCUCUCUCUAAAACUUAAAAUUCGAUAUAGUUUCUCUCUCUAAAAUUUGAUAAAUUUUAGAUAGUUUUUCUCUCUAAAAUAGAUAUAAUUUCUUUCUAAAAUUUUAAUAUACUUUCUCUCUCUAAAACUUAGAAUUUGAGAUAGUUUCUUUCUCUAAAAUUUUUGAAAUAAUAACUCUCUCUAAAAAAAGUUUAGUACUCUUUCUAAAACUUAAAUUUGAUAUAAUUUAUCUCUCUCUAAGAAUUUUCAGGUACUUUCUCUUGAUAAAACUUAAAAUUUGAGAUAAUUUUUCUCUUUAAAAAAAUUGAUAUAGUUUUUCUCUUUAUAAAUUUUCAAGUACUUUCUCUGUUUAAAACUCAAAAUUUGAGAUAGUUUUUCUCUUUAAUUUUUUUUGAGAUGGUUUCUCCCUCUAAAACUUUUUUUAUAUCGCCGUCUCUAAAAUUUGAUAUAGUUUCUCUCUCUAAUAUUUUAUGAUAUUCUCUUUAAAACUUAAAAUUUGAAAUAGUUUAUCUUUAUAAAAAUUAUAAGAUAAUUUUUUUCCAAAAAAAUUUGGAUAGUUUCUUUCUCUAAAAUUAGAAAUAGUUUGCUUCUCUAAAAUUUUAAAAUACUUUCUAUGUCUGAAAUGUAAAAUUUGAGGUAGUAUCUCUCACUAAUUUAAGGUCGUGUUUUUGUGAAAUUAAUUUCGGAGGGUAAAAACAAUCAUACAAUUUUAUUUAUUUUUAGGAUGAAACGAAGAAAGACGAAAAUAUAUUUCAGUCCCAAAAUUUCGAUGCAAACCCUAGAAAUGUGUCAUUUCCCCUCAAAUACAUUAUAAAAUGUAUUUCUUAAGUAUCCAAACGGCCCCGAUGGUUUUACAUGACGGUGGGAACAGAGUGUACAUGCCACCGCGGGAGUAAAAAAUAUUUUUUAACUCUCUUCAACUGAUACUAUAAAUAGUCCCGCCUAUUAAGCCUUCAGACUAGAAACGAAGUUUUGUUACUCUUAAGUCUUACUCAAGCCCAUGUAGAUGAUCAUUUUAAGAUCUUUUUCCAGGUAUUUUUUUUGUCACUCAGUAAUUUCGAUUGUUUUUUUCUGGGUAUUUGAUCUCUAUAAUGGAAAAUCUCAGCAUUUUUGGAAGAUAUUAUUUCUCUUCCUUUCUUUUAUUUUCUUUCUACUUUUUCCUUCGUUUGUUUUGUGGAAUUUUGAAUUGGAAAUUAAGGUUACCUUUGCUCCGAUUGUGACUGAAAAAUUCAAAAAACAUUUGGUGGGUUUUUUAGUGUAAGUUGAACUGCAUGAUCAUUGAUCAUCUCUCUCUUUCUCUCUCUCUGAAGUAAUGUUCCUGUAUUACUUUUAUGAUGUUGGAAAAGGAACACCAUUUUCCAUUGCUUUGAUGUGUUAUGGCUCCCGAUUUACAAACAAAAGGUCUUCGCAUAUUCUGUUUGGAGUUUUUUGAGUAAAUAAGCUUAUGAGUCUUUUGCAUUAUUUCUUCCAGAGUGGAACAAGUAUCAAAGGUUUCAAAAGUUAUUUAUGAAUUACCAAAGCUUGUAAGCUCAUUUCAGGUAUUGAAAGAAGACUUAAUUUUGCUUUUCCUUUUUUUUUUUUAUUAAUUACUUUGAAAGUAGCCUUCUUUGGUGUUAUAUCUUUGCUUUAAUGCAGAUAGUCAAACUUUCAACUGCAUAGAUAAUUGGGAAAAGGGAAAUUUAUCAAAAUGCACCGAGAUGAACUAUUUAGCAGUUUCUGGUCUUUAAUUUAAUUUUGAAAAGUCCAUCAAAAUGCACACGAUCAUGAGUUGGAAUAGCUGAGAAAAGGGGUAAAAUGUCCAACAAUCGAAAAGCUAGGUGUAUUUAGAUAAAUUUCCCUUGGGAAAUUAAUCUUAUGGUGCAUAAAAUUCGCAUGUCUUUGGCAUGCAUUACACUAUAGAUAAUUGCCAUUCUUCUUGUUACGUUUACAUGACCAGAUUAUGUCAUCCAUUUCAGGGUUUUUGCCAUUGUAAUUAGUUUGAAGAAAGGAAUGGCGUUGUAAAUAUAAAAUUUGCUUUUUAAUUAUGCUUUCUAUUGUUGUUUUCCUCUUCAUUUUACUGUUUAUGUAUAUGCUAGGGUUCCAAUUACUAUGGCAAAGUUUGUUUGAGGAAAAUGGGGGAUAUGAAGGAUGUAGUGAAUGCAAUGGAUCAGAGCAAGAAGAGGAGAGCUGUGAGAGCAGUUUGGAUGCCGCUCAGUGCUCACUUGAGUUCUUCGGAAGGUUGGUUUCUUUCUAUUCUCUACUAUGGUUAUGUGUUCAGGGAGAAUUUUGAAUGAGAAAUGAGAAAACUUGGAAGAUAUUUCGCAUUUAUUGAGUGUUGUCAUUUGAAUGCUGCAUUUACUAUGCAUGGCGUCUUUUUUUUUUAUUUCCCCUUUUUCUCUUUUAUUUUAUUUUAUUUUAUUUUAAAGUUUUUAUCAUUAUUAUGGAAACAAAUUCAAUUGUGAGUUGUUCAUCAUUGUCUGGGUUCUUUCUAGAAACCAUUUUGGUUUACAAGUUCUUCUAUUUUGUGAUGAUGUGAAGUUUUUCUUUUUCCUUUUUAUUAAUGUACUAUUAUUGCUGAUUUAAUAAGUAACUCAAGAGAUACCUAUAAAUACAGAAUCUCCAUGGGUACUCCUAACAAUGAAUCCCCAUCUGGAGACCCAUAUGGAGAAAGGACAUCUAUGUAUACAUACUAAAGCUCUGUAUCCAAUGAACAGAUGUUCUCUAGAAUCCCUUUACGCUUGUCAGCUCUACAUCUCACCUUUCUGAUCUCUUGUUCUCCUAUGGGUGCUAUGGACAGGGCAUCUGUAUUUAUUUUUGUGCACUAUCUUCAAUUCCCAAUCCCUUUAUUCAAUUACAACUCUCUUUCUCUUAUGAUAAUAAUUGCCUGUAUUUAGCUGACCCCAACUAGUUGGGUUAAGGCUCGGAUGAUAAUGAUGAUGAUGAUCUUACUCUAGAAAUUCUAUUAUUACUCUGUCUCCAUGGCCCAAAAGAUAGCUAGAGGAAUUAUCGCUGGCGUAGAGUGGCCAAAAUCCCAAGAAAAAAUACAGCCCGUAUGGACUCUAGUAGUGCCCCUGGACCAUAGAGACCUAAAAUAUGAACCUAAAACCCUGUUCCAUGAAUGAUCUAAUAAAUUGCAACCAUCCGCUAGAAAGAUUGCUCAUCAUGCCAAGCCUAUUAAUGCUCACCUUCUUUUCUCUACAACUCCUUUCUACUGUCUAUAUAUCAUUCUCUUGUGGAACACUUAGGUUUCGUGUGAUUUUUGGAAUUGCUGAGUGUUCCUAUGGGACUGUGUAUGUGUGUGUGUGUACACACAUAUUUGGGUGAGGUUUAUAUAAGGCACCCCCCUUAUACUAUAUAGGUAAGGUGCGCCUCUAAAUUUUACCCAAAGAUGUAGUUCUUAAGUUGGAAACCUUAUGAUGCCUUGAAAAUCCAUGUUCCAACCCUAAUUAUGAAAUUUAAAAUUUCGAAAAUGUUACAAAUUGAGCAUAUCUAUAAACACUUGAAAAUCUUGAAAAUAGACAAUAACUUGAUAGAAGAUGCACUAUUUUUAGGACUUGAAAUUCUUUUUUUCUUUAUAUCUUGAUAUGAUCAAUUGGAAGGUUUUCCAACUUCGGAAAGCUCUUUUCUAUUGGAUCUUUGUGGUGCAUGUUACUUCUAUAGUACAAGGUUGCAACCUUAUAUAAACUGUUUCCUAUAUAUAUAUUAUUUUUGACAACGUCCUAUUUUCUCAUUUUACAGACUUGGGAAUCGAUAAAUCCAUAUUUAUCAAUCCAAAAACAUUUCAUUUGACUGUUCUCAUGCUUAAAUUGUGGAAUGAGGAACGCGUUGCUACAGCUGCUGAGGUUUUACAGGUAGAGGAUCAAUCCAUUCAAAAGUAUCAUAUGUACUAAUGGUAGGAGUUCCAAGGUUAUGAUUUUUUUGCUGAUACAUGCAGAAAGUCUCUCCAAAAGUGAUGAACGCUUUGAAAGACCAUCCAAUUUCCAUCAGGUUGAAAGGGUUGGUAUGUUUAUUUUAUUUUUUCCUUUUACUUCUACUCAAAAGUUCACGAUUUCCUUUCCUUUUCUUUCUUUUAUUUUGUUUUAUUUUUGUUUUUGGUGGCGGGGGAUGUAUGUAUUAUCAUUCAAUGAAUCCCUGAGUUUGAUGUUUCGAUUAUAUUUUCCUCAAGAUUAGCAUGUUGCUUCAUGUACCAGGUGAAGGCAGUAGGGCGUUAAAUAAAAAACUGAUGAGUAAGAAAAAAAAACUUAACCAUUUGAAGGGUUUACCUAUUAUUAAUGAUUUCUUGGUCUCAAGCAUUGCCCUAUAAUGGUCCAUUCUUUUUUUAAUAGGUUUCUCAUAUGUUAAUGUGUUUUCAUAAUCUUUUGUUGAAGCUUAGUUUCCUUGUGUCAGAUGUUUGCUCAUAAUUUUUUAUUGUUGGGUAAUGUUCCUUGUAGUGUUUGUUCUCAACACCUCAUCUUUACAAUGUAAUGUAUUAGAGGCACUGCUGCACUGAGUCGUAUUCACUUCGACUAUCUAAAUGCUUGCAAUGAUUUAUUGUCUAGCAUAAUUUUAUUAGGAUUUUCUUACGGAUGAACUUUGUAUUUUCAGUAGUUUUGUCAUGACAUGGUUUGAACUUGAAGCUACGCUAAACUAGUUUGUAUAUCAUGCAGUUAAUGCAAUAACGUUUCCUAGUUCAAGUUCUGAGCUAGAAUAGGAAUUUGCUUCGGCACUGGAUGAUUUUUUCCCCUCAUUUCUCUGCAUGGAUUUUACUAUUUAGGUUUAAAAUAGCUGGAUUAUGAUGUUUUUUGAGAGAUUGCUUGGUUUUGUUGGUCUCGUAUAUAUUGAGAUUUUGCUGUUUCUUACAUUUUCCUUCUAAUAGUUAGUUGAAUGAGGCAAAUUACUUCUCAAGUGGAGUUAAUGUUGUAUGUAAUAAUAUGUUGAAAAUGAUGGAUCACUGAAAUCCUUAUAAAUAAAGAUUCUAAUGGCUAGUAAUGAUGCCUUUUCCUUGUUUAAUCUUUUGAUGGGUCUUGGGGCCUCAUAGAAUCACACUACCCUUAAUUUUCUUGAUUAUUGUAUUGCAUGUAGUUUUUGUGAUAUCACUUAGAUUUGCAGAUAUUCUCAAUCUCCAGUCUUGGAUGACUUCAUGUUAGUGUGUGUGUAUGAGGUGAAUUUUCAGGAAGUGCAUUGUUUCUCUCAUGUACAGGACUGCAUGAGAGGUUCAGUUUCAGAAGCCUGUGUUUUAUAUACUCCAGUUGAGGAGAUUGGUGGCGAGGGUCGCUUGAUGCGGGCUUGUCGUAUCCUGAAUAUAUGUAUAAUGUUUUUGUUUUUACCCCCCUUCAGAAGUUAUAUACAAUAUAUUUAUAAUAUUUCCAGUGCAACUUUAUGGAUAAUUGUCACCGAAAUAAUUAGUACACUAACUUUUUCCUUUUUCUUAAUUUUUUCUUUCUGAUGUUAUAUUUGAAUUUUCCUUUCUUGCUGAUUUUCUUGAGCUUUCCAUAGAAGUCAUUAUUGAUGCCUAUGUGAAAGCUGGCCUUGUUCUCCAGAAGGAUGCGUGCCAAAAGUUGAAGGUAUUGUAUUUUUUAUCCUAGUAUGAUCUGUGGCACCUUGUAAAAUGACUCAAUGUUAUAAUAGUUUUGAUAGUGGUGUUAUUUCUGUUUCUUAAAUUUUUAUUUCUUUUGCAAUGUUCUUUGGAGACAUUCAACUUAAUAGCUAUGUUCAUUAGGUCUGUAUUGUAGACUUCCAAUCUAGUGCACUAUUAUCAUCCAUGUAAAAUAAUUGUAAGAUUUACUUUGAAACCGAGUCACUGUUAUUUCUUUUUCUUGAAAACUGGGGGCUUUUCUAAGGUUUCCUCUAAUGGGAUUUUUUUAAGAUCGUAGCAUUAGGGUGGUGAUACAUUCCACUACUAUGAUUUAGGUCUGUUAAAAUAAUCAUAAAAAAUAACCAAAAGGAUAUCUAGAAAAUGGAAAAAAAAAAUACAGAAAACAGAACAUUAAGUGGUAAUGAUUAAAUUAGCUUUUUUUUUGCAGUUGCAUGGGACAGUCAUGAAUGUAAAGUUUAGGAAAAGGUACUUUUAUGUCUUCUCUUCCGUCUAUUGUCAUUUUGGGAAACUAUACCGGGGGAGUCUUUUGUGGUACAUGGUGCACAGCUGGACCAUCCACAGAUCAUUCACAAAAACGGAUGGUAGAGAUCAACUAAAAGCUACCUAUGAUGGACACAUUUAGAUUUAAUCUGCACCUUCCAUUGUGGAGAAUGGUCAGUGGAUGCCCCAGAUGUGUAUCGCGUACAGGCUGUAUAUAUAUGCUUUCCUUUUUAGCUUUGAUAAUAGAUUUUGCACCGUCAAAGUUUGGAAAAGGAAUGGUAAAACCCAUAUUUGAUAAAUUUGCAAUUGCGCGUCAUUACUGUCGCUGUUUAGGACGACGAGAACGAGGAAGAUCGGUUCCUUUGAUGCUCGCGACAUUUUCGAACGAUAUGGGUCUGAAGAGUGGGGUGAGUAUGUGAUUGGUGAGGCGCAUUUAUCGCAUUUACAUGUUCAAUAAGUGUUUUUAUUGGGUAGUUUUUGAAUUAGGAUUUUGUCUCUUACUGUAUGGAUUGUUAAUCAGAUUAUGCAAUUAUUUUAUUUUCAAAGAAGAAAAAUCUAAUUGUGUUUUUCAUUUCUUGAUGUAUGCCCUUUUUGUUGCUAAACACAAUUCAUGCUUCACCUUCAUCGCUCAUUGUUGGGAACCUUUGUGGAUGCCCUGUCUAUGCACAUGUACAGGCUGUGUAUGUGAUAUACUUCCCUUCCCAACUAACAAAGUGGUCGUUACAAAAGAUUUGCCAUGUUUUUGAUCAAGAUUUAUAAGGUCAAGGGGGAUAUUAAAAGUAAUCUGAUUAUAGGAUCUUUGUACAUAUGUCUAUGUCUGGGAUUAAUAGCUAUUUAAUUUUGGUUAGAUAUUCAAAAGUAUGUCGAUAACAAUAUCGCAUGUCAAUACUAGUUAUUUUUAUGGGGUUAUAAAUUUUUGAUAUUGAAAAGUGAUAUUAUUUUAGUCUGGUUAUAAUUUUUUAAAAUUGAAAUGUAGCAUUGAAAAUAUUUGAUAUUAUUAGUAGUCGACUGUUAGCUUUCUGCUGAAGGUCGGAUGGUGUCCCCCUAAGCACGUUUUAACUCCUCGAAUGGGAAUAUUAAUAUCUUGGGAAAUGAUGGGAUGCCCAAAUGCUAAAAAUCAAAGGGGGGGGGGUGGUCAGUGCUGACGCAACGAUGUUCGAUGGUCUUACACGCGAUUAAGGUAUGGUCUGAGCAUAGAGAUCCUAGUGAGAGAAAGUCGCAAUAAAUGUCAUCAAAUAUGUGUUUCUUAGUUACAUGCAUAGGCGAAGAUAUUUCUAGUGAGAAAAACCAUGCAACAAAUAUAAUGCAAUUGUUUAAUAACGAAAAAGUUUAUAUAAGGGUGAGGCUGUAAACAAUUAAAUUAAGGCUGACUUCAAAAGUGUGAGGCUGUAAGCAUUCGUAAUCUUUCGCCCUUUUCCCCCCUGCUGUUGUCCAAGAUAUUUAACAUGACAUUCUGAAAUAGAAUGGUAAAAGAGGCUACAUUUGUAAAUAUGCUUGAUUAUUCUAUACCGUCUUCCAUGAAGGUUCUAAUAAAUUGCAACCAUCCACUAGAAAGAUUUGCUCAUCAUGCCAAGCCUAUUAAUGCUCACCUUCUUUUCUCUACGACUCCUUUUCUACUGUAUAUAUAUCAUUCUCCUAUGAAACGCUUAGGUUUCGUGUGAUUUUUGGAAUUGCUGAGUGUUCCUAUGGGACUGUGUAUGUGUGUGUGUGUACACACAUAUUUGGGUGAGGUUUAUAUAAGGCACCCCCCUUAUACUAUAUAGGUAAGGUGCGCCUCUAAAUUUUACCCAAAGAUGUAGUUCCUAAGUUGGAAACCUUAUGAUGCCUUGAAAAUCCAUGUUCCAACCCUAAUUAUGAAAUCUAAAAUUUCGAAAAUGUUACAAAUUGAGCAUAUUUAUAAACAAUUGAAAAUCUUGAAAAUAGACGAUAACUUGAUAGAAGAUGCACUAUUUUUAGGACUUGAAAUUCUUUUUUUCUUUAUAUCUUGAUAUGAUCAAUUGGAAGGUUUUCCAACUUUGGAAAGCUCUUUUCUAUUGGAUCUUUGUGGUGCAUGUUACUUCUAUAGUACAAGGUUCCAAGCUUAUAUAAACUGUUUCCUAUAUAUAUAUUAUUUUUGACAACGUCCUAUUUUCUCAUUUUACAGACUUGGGAAUCGAUAAAUCCAUAUUUAUCAAUCCAAAAACAUUUCUUUUGACUGUUCUCAUGCUUAAAUUGUGGAAUGAGGAACGCGUUGCUACAGCUGCUGAGGUUUUACAGGUAGAGGAUCAAUCCAUUCAAAAGUAUCAUAUGUACUAAUGGUAGGAGUUCCAAGGGUAUGAUUUUUUUGCUGAUACAUGCAGAAAGUCUCUCCAAAAGUGAUGAGAGCUUUGAAAGACCGUCCAAUUUCCAUCAGGUUGAAAGGGUUGGUAUGUUUAUUUUAUUUUUUCCUUUUACUUCUACUCAAAAGUUCACGAUUUCCUUUCCUUUUCUUUCUUUUAUUUUGUUUUAUUUUUCUUUUUGGUGGCGGGGGAUGUAUGUAUUAUCAUUCAAUGAAUUUUCGAGUUUGAUGUUUCGAUUAUAUUUUCCUCAAGAUUAGCAUGUUGCUUUAUGUACCAGGUGAAGGCAGUAGGGUGUUAAAUAAAAAAAUGAUGAGUAAGAAAAAAAAACUUAACCAUUUGAAGGGUUUACCUAUUAUUAAUGAUUUCUUGGUCUCAAGCGUUGCCCUAUAAUGUUCCAUUCUUUUUAUAAUAGGUUUCUCAUAUGUUAAUGUGUUUUCAUAAUCUUUUGUUGAAGCUUAGUUUCCUUGUGUCAGAUGUUUGCUCAUAAUUUUUUAUUGUUGGGUAAUGUUCCUUGUAGUGUUUGUUCUGNNNNNNNNNNNNNNNNNNNNNNNNNNNNNNNNNNNNNNNNNNNNNNNNNNNNNNNNNNNNNNNNNNNNNNNNNNNNNNNNNNNNNNNNNNNNNNNNNNNNNNNNNNNNNNNNNNNNNNNNNNNNNNNNNNNNNNNNNNNNNNNNNNNNNNNNNNNNNNNNNNNNNNNNNNNNNNNNNNNNNNNNNNNNNNNNNNNNNNNNNNNNNNNNNNNNNNNNNNNNNNNNNNNNNNNNNNNNNNNNNNNNNNNNNNNNNNNNNNNNNNNNNNNNNNNNNNNNNNNNNNNNNNNNNNNNNNNNNNNNNNNNNNNNNNNNNNNNNNNNNNNNNNNNNNNNNNNNNNNNNNNNNNNNNNNNNNNNNNNNNNNNNNNNNNNNNNNNCUAUUUCUGUUUCUUAAUUUUUUAUUUCUUUUGCAAUGUUCUUUGGAGACAUUCAACUUAAUAGCUAUGUUCAUUAGGUCUGUAUUGUAGACUUCCAUUCUAGUGCACUAUUAUCAUCCAUGUAAAAUAAUUGUAAGAUUUACUUUGAAACCGAGUCACUGUUAUUUCUUUUUCUUGAAAACUGGGGGCUUUUUUAAGGUUUCCUCUAAUGGGAUUUUCUUAAGAUCGUAGCAUUAGGGUGGUGAUAAAUUCCACUACUAUGAUUUAGUUCUGUUAAAAUAAUCAUAAAAAAUAACCAAAAGGAUAUCUAGAAAAUGGAAAAAAAAAAUACAGAAAACAGAACAUUAAGUGGUAAUGAUUAAAUUGGCUGUUUUUUUGCAGUUGCAUGGGACAGUCAUGAAUGUAAAGUUUAGGAAAAGGUACUUUUAUGUCUUCUCUUCCGUCUAUUGUCAUUUUGGGAACUAUACCGGAGGAGUCUUUUGUGGUACAUAGUGCACAGCUGGACCAUCUACAGAUCAUUCACGAAAACGAAUGGUAGAGAUCAACUAAAAGCUACCUAUGAUGGACACAUUUAGAUUUAAUCUGCACCUUCCAUUGUGGAGAAUGGUCAGUGGAUGCCCCAGAUGUGUAUCGCAUACGGGCUGUAUAUAUAUGCUUUCCUUUUUAGCUUUGAUAAUAGAUUUUGCACCGUCAAAGUUUGGAAAAGGAAUGGUAAAACCCAUAUUUGAUAAAUUUGCAAUUGCGUGUCAUUACUGUCACUGUUUAGGACGGUGAGAACGAGGAAGAUCGGUUCCUUUGAUGCUCGCGACAUUUUCGAACAAUAUGGGUCUGAAGAGUGGGGUGAGUAUGUGAUUGGUGAGGCGCAUUUAUCGCAGAGGUUCAAGUAUGAACGAAGUGGCUACUAUCAUCGUUGCGCUUCAAUUCCCUUCCCUUAGAGCCUGGAAGAUUAAUAGUUCUUUUUUUUUCUUUUUCUUUUUAUUUACGUGUUCAAUAAGUGUUUUUAUUGGGUAGUGUUUGAAUUAGGAUUUUGUCUCUCUUACUGUAUGGAUUGUAAAUCAGAUUAUGCAAUUAUUUUAUUUUCAAAGAAGAAAAAUCUAAUUGUGUUUUUCAUUUCUUGAUGUAUGCCCUUUUUGUUACUAAACAAAAUUCAUGCUUCACCUUCAUCGCUCAUUGUUGGGAACCUUUGUGGAUGCCCUGUCUAUGCACAUGUACAUGCUGUGUAUGUGAUAUACUUCCCUUCCCAACAAACAAAGUGGUCGUUACAAAAGAUUUUCCAUGUUUCUGAUCAAGAUUUUUAAGGUCAAGGGGGAUAUUAAAUGUAAUCUGAUUAUAGGUUCGUUGUACAUAUGUAUAUGUCUGGGAUUAAUAGCUAUUUAAUUUUGGUUAGAUAUUCAAAAGUAUGUCGAUAACAAUAUCGCAUGUCAAUACUAGUUAUUUUUAUGGGGUUAUAAAUUUUUGAUAUUGAGAAGUGAUAUUAUUUUAGUCUGGUUAUAAUUUUUUAAAAUUGAAAUGUAGCAUUGAAAAUAUUUGAUAUUAUUAGUAGUCGACUGUUAGCUUUCUGCUGAAGGUCGGAUAGUUUCCCCUUAAGCACGUUUUAACUCCUCCAAUGGGAAUAUUUAAUAUCUUGGGAAAUGAUGGGAUGCCCAAAUGCUAAAAAUCAAAGGGGGGGGGGGGGGUGGUCAGUGCUGACGCAACGAUGUUCGAUGGUCUUACACGCGAUUUAGGUAUGGUCUGAGCAUAGAGAUCCUAGUGAGAGAAAAUCGCAAUAAAUGUCAUAAAAUAUGUGUUUCUUCGUUACAUGCAUGGGCGAAGAUAUUUCUAGUGAGAAAAACCAUGCAACAAAUAUAAUGCAAUUGUUUAAUAACGAAAAAGUUUAUAUAAGGGUGAGGCUGUAAACAAUUAAAUUAAGGCUGACUUCAAAAAUUCGUUAGAAAAUCUUAUUUUGAUACUAAAAAAUCUUUAAAUUGAUCAUCUUAAUCUCAAGAGCUAUGGAAAUGAGAAAAAAUGAAUUUAAGUCUUGGAAAUAGUCUUAUCUUGUAAUAUAUUUUUGGACCGUUAAUUUUCGAGUAUUUAUAGAUCUAUUCAAGUGUUCAUAGAUCUAUUCGAUAUAUAUUAUUUUAAGGGUGUGGUUUUUGCAACUUUAAACAAUCACCUCCAAAUUUUAUUAUAACAUGUACUUUUGGCAUAAAAAAUUCUUAAUAUUAUUUGAAAAUAUAUUUUUAUAUUUAAUUAUAAAAUUUUAAACUCAAAACUUGAUUAAGUCAAUUUGAUUUAUAAACAUAUAAAAAUCUUGAAAAUUGACGGUUUAGAUAAAAAUCUUGAAAAUUUGACGGUCUGCAAACAUAUAAAAAUCUCGAAAAUCUGAGGCUCAAAAUAUUUUUCUUUUUCAUAUUGAUAUAUGUGGUUUUUCAACAUUAAAACAACCUUUUUUCCGAUGGAGUUUUGAGGUGCAUAUGUAAUUCUACAUUUUAAGGUUGCAACUUCAUGUAAACUUUUUCUUUUGAAGCUUUAAAUUUUAUAAUUAGAUAUGAAAGUAAAUUUCCAAACCUUCACAAAAAUUUCUAAUACCGAAAAACAUAUUCUAGCCGUAUUUAAAGGUGCGGCCUACUUUGAUUGUUUGGAGCGUCAGCCCUAUAUAAAUCACACCCUUCCAAAAAAAAACACUUGCCAGGCAAUAUUCUAAGUGAACCAGUUCGACUUGGGAAAUUCCGAAGCCGGAUUGAGCUGUUCAUUUAUCAUCCAUGAUUUGCUUCUAAUGUGAAUCUGAGAAUGAACUACAGUUACCAUGAAUGCAUAAUUUAUAAAAAAAAAUUGAUUACAAUUUCAAUGGCCAGAACGAAUCUGAGAAUAAACUACAGUUACCAUGAAUGCAUAAUUUAUAAAAAAAUUGAUUACAAUUUGAAUGGCUACAACCGGGAAAAGUACAAACUGCACGCCCAUAAGAUUUGAUUGCAUCACAAGGCUACAGUUUCUUAGACAUACCUGAACUAUAUUUACAGUAAUGAAGCAUGAACCAUAUUAAUGUACUCUGUUCUUUCUUCCAAACAAGACAGACACCAUUAACGCCAAACUCCACCAUAUUUUAGUAGUUUUAGUUGUACUACGUUUGUUUUCAAGCUUUUCUCCUUAUUUUUUUUAUAGAGAGAGAGAAAGAGAGAGGACAUUUCAAUCCUUUUUUUUAUCUUUGUGACAAUUACCCCUGAUACAUUAUCUCUAUCACAAAAAAAAAAAUCUCUAUUUUGUCAUAGUAAAUUUUUCCAAUGUUGAUAAUAACUUUGAUAAUUUCCCCAAAAAAAUUAUUUUAUCUUUUAUCCUCUUUUCUUGAAUGUUAAGUUGGGAUGAAACUCUAUACGUCAUGUUGUGGCACCCGCCACUUUUACCCUCUUUGCCUAGAGCACAUUUGCUCAGUUAAAAUCAAUUUAUUAAAAUAUUUUUAUGCUUCUAUUACUAUAAAAAUACAAUUUUUCUCUUGAUAAUAAAUAUGAAAGAGACUCAUCAUCUACAUAAAAACAACUCAAAGAAUCAGUUAAGGCAGAUGGGGAAAAAUUUGUAAGAAAGUGAUAAUUUGACAUGUAUGUUAAGCUAGUAAUUUGGGAAGUGAAUUUUGAUAUUUUAAUUUCUUUAUAUACUAGAAACUGUUUCCAACUUUAUCAUUUAUGUAAUUUUCUGAUUUGUUGAAUAUGUGAAUUGCUUAUAAUUUGAUUUCACAUUUUACUUAUCUCACUAAAAAUUUGUUCCAAAAUACAUAGUAUAUUAAAGUCCCAAUAAUCAUUCAAUAAAAUCCUGAAAAAAGAGAUAAUCAUGAUAUUAUCCUGAAAUUCCUUGGUGAUAAUAUCCCGAUAAAAAUAAUUGUCACUACAAUUCUUGUAUAUCAUGUGUGUUUGUAUGCAGUAGGGAUGGCUAUCUUACUAUACCACUUUCUCUUGGGGAGAGAUAAGGGCAAGGGCAGGUGGGGGUGGGGCACCAGUGCUGAGAGAUGGGGAACAUGGCUUCUGCCUCCCUCCUAAAGAAAAAGGAACCCUAAAUGUCAAGGUUUCUACUUUCCAAUUUGUUUUUUCUUAUUGUAUAAGUCAGUCUGUGAACUUCCCUUGGGGCCCAUUUGUGAGACUUUAUAUUUGGGUAGGUAAGCAUGAUAUUUUCAUUCAAAAAACUUAAGGAUCCAUGUCAAGGCAUCCACACCACUAUGCUGAGGCCCUAAAAAAGACCUAGUUUCCAAGAUACUGUUUUCAAGUGCCCAUUGUUAAGAAUGUGGAGCACUUUAUACUGUACUUCUCUUCCUUUAUUGUAUUGUAAAUACAAAAAUGUUUUUAGUGAGUCAGCCCAUUCAUGCAUCCCUUUUCAUGGUUAUAGAUCUCAAAUCAUUGGGUAUCCAUUUUCGUUCUGUAUCUAUGAAUUUGGAGCUCCAAAAAUAAUGCACAUAUGAUGUUUUUUUAAAAAAUGAUUUAAACGGUCGACAUGAAAAGAUACAAGAUGGAUCACUUUUAGGACUCGGACUUUUCUUUGUUAUGUUUUUACAAAUUUAUUAUUGUGGCUUUCGAGAUGAUAAAUCCAUAAAAUUUUGGAUCUAAAUCAUCCAAAUGAAAUCUAAGUGACUUAUCUAGUUUUCCUUUACCAAAACCUGCUUUUUUACUUAUCACUAAUAAAUAAAAUUGACACAAGUUUUUCCAUGUUUAACCUCGAAAAGGUCUUAAUAGAAGGUUCUUAUUUUUGUCCUUGAUUGUGUGGGUUUGAAAAGAAGAUAGCAUUUAAAAUAUUUAAAAGACCAGAAAAAGAAAGGUGAAAUUCUCCCUUAUCUCAUAGAGACUAGAACCAAUGUAUUCAAGACAUAUCAAGAGAUGAUAAUGACAGUUGAAAAUUGACGAUAAUGACAAUUGAAAUUUUUUAUGAUUAGUAGGGCAUGAAAGUGGUGACUUUUAAAAUUGAAUUGAUAGCAUGAAAACUGACAAAAAUUUCAAGGGUUUUGACUGUUGGGCAGUGAUCAAAGUGUUGCCCAAUUAACUUUAAGAUUCAGGUGCCACAUUAUUAAGACAUUAUUCAGGAAAGGGGCUGGUCAUGGUGGUAGCAACCCCAUACUUAGUUAUUACGUUGUGGUUUUCAAUCCUGCUGACACCACCCACCGACACCUUCAUACAAGCUGACUCUCUUAUCGAUAUGAAAAAAUUGAUAGGGGCCUUUCUUCCCCACUGAAUUACCUGCAAAAAAAAAGAAAAAAAACAAAUUUCAAUGGUGGGAUAAGGACAACCAACCAUUCCUCGUGAGCAAUACUGCCUUCUGAAAAGAUCCUCUUAGUUAACAUAAGUAGCUAAGAUUUGAUGUGAGAACUGCAUUCUUAGUUAACAUAAGUAGCUAAGAUUUGAGGUGAGAACUGCAUUUUAUAUGAGAUUUGGGAUAUAAUUUUAUAUGAGAUUUGGGAUAUAAUUCUCUAGAAGGUGGUUUUCCAUUUAACCUUUGUUCUUUCUUGGUGCUUAGUGUAUCUUGAUUCAUGUCUUCUGCUUUUUUUUUGUUUUACAAGUAAUGGAUUAAUGCUAAAUAUUGCUUCAUUAAUAUCUUUAGGUCGAAGCAUUUUCAAGAACGUGGUAUUCAUUUGAAAGGCUACAACACAUGAAAUCCUAACAUUUUCGUCAUGCAUAGCUUGUAUUUGCUUAGUUAUAGUACCAGGGGCAUGCUUAGUGGAAUAGUGAAAUUUGAUUGACAUUAAGCGGCAUGUAUAAAGUAGAUGCUGGUCCUAUUGAUCCUUGAGGUGUAGAUGUUUUUUUUUUUAAGUGAUUAUCAGUAUUUUUGUAAAUGAUCUCUUAAGCCAUAAUGGGCUGCUUUAAUUUAUUCCAUCAUUUGUGGAAACAAAGUAGACAUCUUUAGGAAACUAUCGACCACAUUUAUGUUACACAUAAGCUAUUUUUGAAUUAGUUUCUUUUAAAGGGACCAUUAAUGGUGUAUUCUUUAUUAUCUUUGGAUUUAAUAUUUAUUAGUUCUAGAUGAAUCCUCUCUCUGUUUGCAUUCUUAAAGUUGUUUGAUGCGACGGUUUGAUUAGUGCAGCUUGAGACAACAACUACUUAUCUCUAGUAUCAUAAUCUAGAUAUGGGAGGUCUUGGAGUUGCAGUAUGUGCUCAUGCGAAGCAUGUUUCAAUAGCCGUUGAUUAAUCGCCAUGGUUGGUGUUUGAGUAUUAGAACAUAAAGUAUCAAAUUUGAAAUCUUACACAUAGAUUUCCAAAUUAAUGAUGGGUGUAGAACUUGUGAGUUAUGGCUUAACGAGCAUAGAACUUAUGAAUUAAGGAGCCAAUCAGUAGCUACGAGGUCCUUAAGCUACGUCCGACUUUUUUUCAUCCACUAAGAUGUAACCGAGGCGUAUGGAUUUUUGUGGGUAAUGCUGGUAUGGAUGCUUUUGUCGUCUGAAAGCACAUAAUUGUGAGUCUUGAUUGAUCCGUUGCAAGUUCUCCAUAAACCAGCAAUAUAGAAAGAAUCUUCUCUCUAUGGAACUCAAAUAACACCUGGAAUAACGGAAAAUAUCAGCAAAUGGAGGAGAAAUAACUUCAACAAGGGAUGAAUGAGAAGGCAAAAGCUAAAACAAAAUAUUUUUUCAAAAUAGAGAAAGCAGUCAAUAGCUAUGAGGGAGCUCAUUACGGCUCAAACCUCUCUAUAGAUGCUUCAUAUUCUGUCAAAAAACUCUUGACUAAAUUUGUGCUUCAAAAAAACCUUGAUCUGAAGCUCCUUAACUUUCCUAUUUUUAGAGAUUUUGGGAACUGGGUGCAAGCGAUUUUUGUAAUUGGGAGCAUGCAUGAGAGAGGGCUGUGUUCUCUAUCUUAAGCUAAACAAAGUUAUUGAGCUUAAAUAGGUUAGUGUCUUUUGUAUAGCUGACCCCAAAUAGUUGGGAUAAGGCUCAGAUGAUGAUGAUGAUUGAUAUGAGUCUUUUAAGGGCUGUUUUGUGUCCAUUUAUAAUGUUGUUUAGUAAAAUCUUAUCUUGAUUUGAUAUGUUCAUUUAUAUUCCUUCUGAACAAUGGUUUCUGUCUAUUUUUUUCGUUUAUAUAGAUAUAGCAGUCUUAAAUAUCAUGUAUCAAAUUAUUGAUCCACAUAUGCGGGUUGACACACCUUUGAUACGCUUCAUUAAAGGAAAAGGGUAUGGCUGUGAAUGAUCAUGCACUACCUUUUGUUUGUUUCUAACUGCAUAUAUCCUCUCAAUUGUACAAAAGUUUGUUAUGAGAUUUCUUAUUAUUAGAAUAUGCUGGUACUAGCAUAAAUUCUCCACAGUGGCUGAUUUUUUGAACAUUCCCCCUCAGGGGAAAUACACAAAAGCAAAUUGAGAUGGAGACUGGAGUAAAAAUCAAAUUUCCAUUGUCAAAAGAGGAGACAUCAAUUGGUAGCCAUCUCCACAGUUUUUUGUUUAUUUUUCUAUUUAAUUUUGGUUUUCACUAUUGAACGAGAGUCAGCUCUAGUGAUUAGUUUACAUUUGGAAUUGGAAUUUAUUUUAUUUGCUUUGUGUGUAACUACACACAUGGUAUAUUUUCAUUUAUAUCCUGUUAGGACUAAGGCAUUCACUCAACAUCGCCUUUACAACUUUUGGCUCUUUGUUAGAUCCUUGAGUCAUAUAUGUGAUCAAUAUAUCUUUGGAUUUCUAUCCUAAUGCUUUUUUUUUUUUGGUAAGAUUCCUAAUACUGUACGUAAAGUAUGUAAAGUAGUGCAUAUAUAGUAGUGUUAUAUGCGUAAGAUAUUCCUUCUUGUUGUGUAAGAACACCAUCAAGUGUGUUCUUUGACAUGAAACUUUCAACAUGGCAUCUAUAGGUAUUUCUAGAGAAGUGCCCGUCCUUCAUAUAUGGUUUACACUAUUGGUUUACCCUAAUACUGUAUAUACAAUAGCGUAAACCAUAUAUGAAUGACCGGCUCUUCUUCAAAAAUACCUAUACAUCAUACUUGAUGGUGAUGCUUCUUGACCAAGAUAGAAUAUCUUUUGCAUAUAUGAAUGGCUGGCUCUUUUCCAAAAAUACCUAUACAUCAUACUUGAUGGUGAUGCUUCUUGACCCAGAUGGAAUAUCUUAUGUCAUCAUCAUCAUCCAAGACGUAAUAUCUUAUGUGGAUUUCAAUUCUGUGUGCUUAACAUCCAUCAUGCUUAUCAUUACGUGGCACAUCGGUAGUCUUUGAUUGAUGAGUAAUCGAAAUGGAAUAUGCAGAGAAAGUGUGGGGAAAGGGCCUAUAAAAGGUUGGAUAUGAUUUUUUCAAUAAUUUUCUGGUCGGGAAUGACAAGAGUUUAUGCGACUAAGCAUAAGGACAAACCACCGGCGGCUUUACAUCUAUUUUCAAGAUUUCUUCUUCCAGAUUUGUGCGACCAUUAUAUCACCGACAAUCUCUGACCAUCCAUCUGUACGCAAUAUCCACCAUCCAGAAAAGCAACAAAAUGGAACUGAAACCCCUUUGAAGUCCAGAGGCUAGAAAUAGCCAAGACCUCCGAAAGCGGAAGAGCUCAGACUUCUCUCUCUCUCUCCUUCUCCUAGUCUCAGACUUUGUCUCUCUUCUCUCCAUUGUAAAAUUCUCUGUAAGAUUUGUGAUCGUAAUAUAGACGAUCUGCCUGUCUAUUACCCAGCCGGGUGGAAACUAUUCUGCAGUUAUUGUAUCCGUAAACAGUAAGCUUUUUCAUUCCUUUCUGUAAUAUGUUUUAUAUGAGUUUGUAAUAUGCUUGUAUGAUGUCAUCCAUGAGUCUAUAUUCAUAUUUAUAAAAUAUGUGGUUGAAAGCCGUCUUUAGCAUUAAAUUUUUUCAGUCUACAUAUACUACUUGGAUAGUCUUAGAUAUUGCUCCAUUCUCAAUAUUUAUGAUUCUAGUCAUAUUUAUAUAUUUCCGAUAUAUUAGAAUGUUAGUCUAAUUUCUGUUAUAAAUUGUUUCAAAUUUCUGUUUCCAAUUCGAUCUUGGUGUUGAUGGUAUCAGAGCCAGAAUAGUAUUACUUCUCAUCUGCAAUAUGCAGAUGAUACAUGUAUUUUCUGUGAAGCUAACUUCAAUAUCGGUGAAGAGCUUAUACCUCUUUCUGAGAUGCUUAGAGUUAGCUUCAGGCAUGGUAGUGAACAUUUCAAAAACAAAGUUCUUGGGUGUCUCAGUCCCUGAACCUGCAAGCCUAGUGGGAUGUGUAGGGAGGGGAAAAUUAACAAAUAAGAGCCAUGGAUUGCCGAUGGGCAAAGGCCACCCAGCCAAGGCACGAUAGGGAGGAGUUAUAGAGAGAGAGUCCAAAACAAGUUAGCAUCUUGGAAGCUUAGGGUUCUGUCAAUGGGAGCCAUUGCUCUUAUUAAAUCUACCCUUUCAAACCUUUGUAUUUACAAUAUAUCCUUGUUUCCGAUCCUUGCUUCAGUGGCAAAAGAAAUUAAAAAGCUUGCGAGGAAUUUAUUUACUUAUUUUUCUACGGAUGGUGAUGUGAGAAGGACGAUUUUCUUCUGGUGAGAUGGGACAGUGGGUGCAAACCGAGAAGUAAAUAAGGCCUAGGAAUCAGAAGAAAUAAAGAAAUGAAUCAGGUGUUGUGAGCCAAAUGCUAGCAGAUGUUUGGAAGCUGGGACUUAAUCAUACCAUCUUUGAGAACAAGUUAUUUAGAGCAAUUAGGGGAGAGAUAUUAGGAUUUUUUUUUGAAACCAUAUGAGCAUAGCUCUAGAUUCUCAAGGGUUUGGAGAGGGAUUAACGGAAUUAGAUAUGCUUUCAUUAGCUUGAUCAGAUUCUAGGUUGGAAAUGGAAGGUAAACUAAGUUUGGGCUUAAUACAUGGCUGGGGGAGUCACCUCUUGUUAGUAAUUGCCCUGUCCUGGCCGAAAAUCUGGAGGUAUCAGUGACUGAUCUAAUGGUGAAGGGCUUUGAUUGACUUUCAAAUCCUCUCUUUGGAGACCCUUUGAAGAAGAUGAAUUCAAAGCCUUUAAGAAUUUUUUGGUAGAGCUAUGGGGAAUCUUCUUUCAGGCCUGAUAGAAAGACAAUCUCAUAUGAUCCCAAGGGUGAAUUUUCUGCAAAAUCAUUGUAUCGAGCCAUGACCUGGUGCUUGGAAAAGAACAACGCCAGAAACAGAGUGUGAAGUAUUCCUUGGCCAUUCCAAAACCAAGUCCUUGCAUGGUUCAUGAUCCUUGAUAGUGUUCUAGCUGUCGACCACGACUGGUUGAGGAGUAACCGUACCCAAUGUAUGUCUCUAUUUCUAUUGUGCAGGGUAAAGAGAAGCAGUUGGCCAUCUUUUUCUGCGUUUCUCGUGGCUUCAGAGAUAUGGACCUUUACACUGAAGCAGUUCGCUUCAUAUGAGUACAGCAAUCCGUAAAAGCACUUUUUUGCAGUGGUUCGCCGCUUACUCAUUGUUAGGGAAGAAAGGACUAAUACUUUGGGGCUGACCGUAUUAGGGGCACUGUAUAUAACAUAUGGUUAGAGAGGGAGAGGAUAUGCUUCAAAGAUCAAAAGUGAAAGAUGGGGAGGGCCAAAGAGAAUCUCAGGACAUUAACCGUCUCUUGGGAGAGUAUUAGAAAAGAUUUCAAAGGCUAUUCUCUGGAAGACUUUAUUUGUGAUACUUUGUUCUUCUUGUCUUUUCUGUUUGAAUUGGAUAUGUGAUCUUCGUCAUAUCUUGUGUGAAUGUGACUAUGACUUUCGUUUAUUUUCAUCUGCAGUGGCUGAGGGUUCUUCGGUUGGAAAUGUGUCCAGAGCUUCAGAGCAGGUAAAUACUAUUCUUGAGGAGGUUUGUUUCUAUUUCAGCAUCAUGUUCUAAGGGUUUCUAUCUUGUGGAAAUCUGGUUUUAGGUGUCAAAAUUGUGUCGUCUUGAUGCUAGCUGCUUACCAGUUCAUCUCGUUGCUUUAUGCAAUGUGGCUCCACUCAGCAAAUUAAAGCACGUGCUUUUUAAAGUUCACACCAUCUUGGAAUAUUAAAGUAGUUAAUAAAUUUUGGGAAAUCUAUCUUUAUUGUUCUGAUAGAGCAAGGCGUAGUAUUUUGGUUGCCUACAAUAUCUGUUUCUUUUUAAUUCAUUUUGGGUCCUGAGGACUGAUCUUUAAGACAUCUUGAGUAGUAUAAGAAUGAUGGAUAUGCAUUCACACUUGAAUAUUUUUAAUUUGCAUGCAUGACUACGUAUGUUGUUCCACUCGAGUAAUCAUCUUUGUUUUAUGGCUGGUGAGUGCAGGCAGAUUACUCCCAUUUCAUAUCUCUACCUUUGGCAGUUCACCCUGGACUUGUAGAAAAGCUACAGAAUUUUCAGAAUUCAAUAUUGGGAAAUUUAGAUAGUAGUCAAGGUAAACAAGGGAGUGAUUCAAAUGAAGGAACAUCAGAUGAAGUAGAUUGUGAUGGCCUUGUUGGUGGAGAUUCUUGUGUUUCUGUUCAAUGACUGUUUAUCUUGUAUAUGGAGUUUCCCUUUUUUACAAUGAUUUUUUCUUGUUCCAUUUGAUUUUACAGGCACAUGUAUCGUUUCUCAUUCUACUGAGAUCUUUAUAUGUUUAUAUUGAGGGUUCCAACUUGAAUUGACGAUAGAUAAAAUCAUCAACUUAGUUUUCUGCCUCUUUCUUUCUACCACCCCCACCCACCCACCCACCCACCCACACCCAGACACACACUAAGAAAAAGAAAAGCCUGCUUAACUCGGUUUAUCUUCUACACUUUGUAUGUUGUAGUCGGUUUUUUGUGUCCAGUUUCAUUUCAUGACAUUAUUCUCUAAGCAUUCGUAAUCUUUCGCCCUUUUCCCCCCUGCUGUUGUCCAAGAUAUUUAACAUGACAUUCUGAAAUAGAAUGGUAAAAGAGGCUACAUUUGUAAAUAUGCUUGAUUAUUCUAUACCGUCUUCCAUGAAUGUUCUAAUAAAUUGCAACCAUCCACUAGAAAGAUUUGCUCAUCAUGCCAAGCCUAUUAAUGCUCACCUUCUUUUCUCUACGACUCCUUUUCUACUGUAUAUAUAUCAUUCUCCUAUGAAACGCUUAGGUUUCGUGUGAUUUUUGGAAUUGCUGAGUGUUCCUAUGGGACUGUGUAUGUGUGUGUGUGUACACACAUAUUUGGGUGAGGUUUAUAUAAGGCACCCCCCUUAUACUAUAUAGGUAAGGUGCGCCUCUAAAUUUUACCCAAAGAUGUAGUUCUUAAGUUGGAAACCUUAUGAUGCCUUGAAAAUCCAUGUUCCAACCCUAAUUAUGAAAUCUAAAAUUUCGAAAAUGUUACAAAUUGAGCAUAUUUAUAAACAAUUGAAAAUCUUGAAAAUAGACGAUAACUUGAUAGAAGAUGCACUAUUUUUAGGACUUGAAAUUCUUUUUUUCUUUAUAUCUUGAUAUGAUCAAUUGGAAGGUUUUCCAACUUCGGAAAGCUCUUUUCUAUUGGAUCUUUGUGGUGCAUGUUACUUCUAUAGUACAAGGUUCCAAGCUUAUAUAAACUGUUUCCUAUAUAUAUAUUAUUUUUGACAACGUCCUAUUUUCUCAUUUUAC
This 27249-nucleotide long non-coding RNA is filed under the name Amborella trichopoda. RNAcentral's name for it is "long non-coding RNA (ATRI_LNC001347)". Lineage: Eukaryota; Viridiplantae; Streptophyta; Magnoliopsida; Amborellales; Amborellaceae. The record is from RNAcentral.